UUGACGGGACCGCACAAGCGGUGGAUGAUGUGGUUUAAUUCGAUGCAACGCGAAAACCUUACCACCUUUGACAUGUACGGAAUCCUUUAGAGAUAGAGGAGUGCUCGAAAGAGAACCGUAACACAGGUGCUGCAUGGCUGUCGUCAGCUCGUGUCGUGAGAUGUUGGGUUAAGUCCCGCAACGAGCGCAACCCUUGUCAUUAAUUGCCAUCAUUCAGUUGGGCACUUUAAUGAGACUGCCGGUGACAAACCGGAGGAAGGUGGGGAUGACGUCAAGUCCUCAUGGCCCUUAUGGGUAGGGCUUCACACGUAAUACAAUGGUCGGUACAGAGGGUUGCCAACCCGCGAGGGGGAGCCAAUCCCAGAAAACCGAUCGUAGUCCGGAUUGCAGUCUGCAACUCGACUGCAUGAAGUCGGAAUCGCUAGUAAUCGCGGAUCAGCAUGUCGCGGUGAAUACGUUCCCGGGCCUU
Molecule: ribosomal RNA, 469 nt
Filed under: uncultured Desulfovibrionaceae bacterium
Lineage: Bacteria; Pseudomonadati; Thermodesulfobacteriota; Desulfovibrionia; Desulfovibrionales; Desulfovibrionaceae
Description: bacterial SSU rRNA
Rfam family: Bacterial small subunit ribosomal RNA
Source: RNAcentral